UGUCAUGAGGUGGUGAUCGAUUGG
This 24-nucleotide non-coding RNA is filed under the name Arabidopsis thaliana (thale cress). The record is from RNAcentral. Lineage: Eukaryota; Viridiplantae; Streptophyta; Magnoliopsida; Brassicales; Brassicaceae.